This 258-nucleotide ribosomal RNA is filed under the name Triticum aestivum (bread wheat). RNAcentral's name for it is "partial small subunit ribosomal RNA". The record is from RNAcentral. Lineage: Eukaryota; Viridiplantae; Streptophyta; Magnoliopsida; Poales; Poaceae.
AUGCUAUGCAGUUGCAGGAACUACAUCCUAGCGAUUGUGCGGGAACCAAAGAGUGUUACACCGGUUUAUCGUCACCACAAGAAAAAAAUGUUCACUAAGAAAGCACACAUCGAAAAGUUUGAUAGGGCCAAUGAAGGAAGUGUAGAAUCAACUUUGCCGGACAAGCAGAUCACUACCCAGGAAUUGCAUCCUAGUUUUUCUAUGAGAACCAAAGAGGAUUACACUGGUUUAUCUUUACCACACAUGGUUUCUGUGUAG